AGGACGAACGCUGGCGGCGUGCCUAAUACUGCAAGUCGAGCGGACAGAAGGGAGCUUGCUCCCGGAUGUUAGCGGCGGACGGGUGAGUAACACGCUGGGUAACCUGCCUGUAAGACUGGGAUAACUCCGGGAAACCGGAGCUAAUACCGGAUAGUUCCUUGAACCGCAUGGUUCAAGGAUGAAAGACGGUUUCGGCUGUCACUUACAGAUGGACCCGCGGCGCAUUAGCUAGUUGGUGAGGUAACGGCUCACCAAGGCGACGAUGCGUAGCCGACCUGAGAGGGUGAUCGGCCACACUGGGACUGAGACACGGCCCAGACUCCUACGGGAGGCAGCAGUAGGGAAUCUUCCGCAAUGGACGAAAGUCUGACGGAGCAACGCCGCGUGAGUGAUGAAGGUUUUCGGAUCGUAAAGCUCUGUUGUUAGGGAAGAACAAGUGCAAGAGUAACUGCUUGCACCUUGACGGUACCUAACCAGAAAGCCACGGCUAACUACGUGCCAGCAGCCGCGGUAAUACGUAGGUGGCAAGCGUUGUCCGGAAUUAUUGGGCGUAAAGGGCUCGCAGGCGGUUUCUUAAGUCUGAUGUGAAAGCCCCCGGCUCAACCGGGGAGGGUCAUUGGAAACUGGGAAACUUGAGUGCAGAAGAGGAGAGUGGAAUUCCACGUGUAGCGGUGAAAUGCGUAGAGAUGUGGAGGAACACCAGUGGCGAAGGCGACUCUCUGGUCUGUAACUGACGCUGAGGAGCGAAAGCGUGGGGAGCGAACAGGAUUAGAUACCCUGGUAGUCCACGCCGUAAACGAUGAGUGCUAAGUGUUAGGGGGUUUCCGCCCCUUAGUGCUGCAGCUAACGCAUUAAGCACUCCGCCUGGGGAGUACGGUCGCAAGACUGAAACUCAAAGGAAUUG
RNAcentral lists this ribosomal RNA (904 nucleotides) under bacterium YC-4. RNAcentral's name for it is "bacterial SSU rRNA". It matches the Rfam family "Bacterial small subunit ribosomal RNA", at positions 26 to 912 of the family's 1533-position model. RNAcentral also lists the same sequence under 1 other name. The record is from RNAcentral.